This 253-nucleotide ribosomal RNA is filed under the name uncultured bacterium. RNAcentral's name for it is "partial 16S ribosomal RNA". It matches the Rfam family "Bacterial small subunit ribosomal RNA", at positions 524 to 776 of the family's 1533-position model. The record is from RNAcentral.
GACGAACCGGACUAACGUUAUUCGGAAUCACUGGGCUUAAAGGGUGCGUAGGCGGCUCAGAAAGUUGGGUGUGAAAGCCCUCGGCUCAACCGAGGAAUUGCGCCCAAAACUACUGAGCUCGAGGGACACAGAGGUAAGCGGAACUUAGGGUGGAGCGGUGAAAUGCGUUGAUAUCCUAAGGAACACCAGGAGCGAAAGCGGCUUACUGGGUGUCUUCUGACGCUGAGGCACGAAAGCUAGGGGAGCGAACGGG